Molecule: ribosomal RNA, 253 nt
Filed under: uncultured bacterium
Lineage: Bacteria
Description: partial 16S ribosomal RNA
Rfam family: Bacterial small subunit ribosomal RNA
Source: RNAcentral
UACGUAGGGGGCUAGCGUUGUCCGGAAUCAUUGGGCGUAAAGAGCGUGUAGGCGGCCCGGUAAGUCCGCUGUAAAAGUCAAAGGCUCAACCUUUGAAAGCCGAUGGAUACUGUGUGGCUAGAGUACGGAAGAGGCGAGUGGAAUUCCUGGUGUAGCGGUGGAAUGCGCAGAUAUCAGGAGGAACACCAAUAGCGAAGGCAGCUCGCUGGGACGUUACUGACACUGAGGCGCGAAAGCGUGGGGAGCGAACAGG